Molecule: ribosomal RNA, 253 nt
Filed under: uncultured bacterium
Lineage: Bacteria
Description: partial 16S ribosomal RNA
Rfam family: Bacterial small subunit ribosomal RNA
Source: RNAcentral
UACGAAGGGGGCUAGCGUUAAUCGGAAUUACUGGGCGUAAAGCGUGCGCAGGCGGUUAUGCAAGACAGAGGUGAAAUCCCCGGGCUCAACCUGGGAACUGCCUUUGUGACUGCAUAGCUAGAGUACGGCAGAGGGGGAUGGAAUUCCGCGUGUAGCAGUGAAAUGCGUAGAUAUGCGGAGGAACACCGAUGGCGAAGGCAAUCCCCUGGGCCUGUACUGACGCUCAUGCACGAAAGCGUGGGGAGCAAACAGG